RNAcentral lists this ribosomal RNA (336 nucleotides) under uncultured bacterium. RNAcentral describes it as "bacterial SSU rRNA". It matches the Rfam family "Bacterial small subunit ribosomal RNA", at positions 8 to 334 of the family's 1533-position model. The record is from RNAcentral.
AGGGUUCGAUUAUGGCUCAGGAUGAACGCUAGCUACAGGCUUAACACAUGCAAGUCGAGGGGCAGCAUUUUAGUUUGCUUGCAAACUAAAGAUGGCGACCGGCGCACGGGUGAGUAACACGUAUCCAACCUGCCGAUAACUCGGGGAUAGCCUUUCGAAAGAAAGAUUAAUAUCCGAUAGCAUAUUAGAACCGCAUGGUUUUACUAUUAAAGAAUUUCGGUUAUCGAUGGGGAUGCGUUCCAUUAGUUUGUUGGCGGGGUAACGGCCCACCAAGACUACGAUGGAUAGGGGUUCUGAGAGGAAGGUCCCCCACAUUGGAACUGAGACACGGUCCAA